GAGAACGCUGGCGGCUGGAUUAGGCAUGCAAGUCGGACGGUAGGCUUUAUCGUAAGAUAGAGUUUGAGAGUGGCGAAUGGGUGAGUAACACGUAGGAAUCUACCCUUAAGACGGGGACAACCCAGGGAAACUUGGGCUAAUACCGGAUGAGAGUGCGAGAGAUUGCAUUUAAAAGGAUGGCGAAAGUUAUCGCUUAGGGAUGAGCCUGCGGUCGUAUUAGUUAGUUGGUGGGGUAAGACGCUCACCAAGGCGAUGAUAGAUAGGCGGCCUUAACGGGUGGUCGCCCACACUGGGAUUGAGAUACGGCCCAGACUCCUACGGGAGGCAGCAGUCGAGAAUAGUCUACAAUGGCCGGAAGGCUGAUAGUGCGACGCCGCGUGAACGAGGGAGCCCUUCGGGGUGUAAAGUUCUUUUCUAUACGAGCAGUGCUAUAUAUAUGGAUAGUAUAUAUAGAGGGAUAGUAGUAUAGGAAUAAGCAACGGCUAACUCCGUG
This 493-nucleotide ribosomal RNA is filed under the name uncultured bacterium. RNAcentral's name for it is "bacterial SSU rRNA". It matches the Rfam family "Bacterial small subunit ribosomal RNA", at positions 31 to 507 of the family's 1533-position model. The record is from RNAcentral.